Long non-coding RNA from Heterocephalus glaber (naked mole-rat), 1854 nucleotides. RefSeq lists it as uncharacterized. The record is from RefSeq and is a predicted model, not a curated record. Lineage: Eukaryota; Metazoa; Chordata; Mammalia; Rodentia; Bathyergidae.
UUUUCCUUUCUGCCAGGGCGCCAGGCCAGGGAGGAGAGGUGGCAGGGCCCUGGGGACAGAGACAGAGGACCGGAGUCCGCCAGAGUGAGGCUGGGAGUGUGGCAAUGGCAAGGGUGAGUAGCUUAGCGCUGGCGCUGGUGAGCAGUAGGGACCCCGGGUGGGCGCAGAGCCCAGGGCACUGGUGAGCAGUAGGGACCCUGGGUGGGUGCAGAGCCCGGGGCGCUGGUGAGCAAUGUGGACCCCGGGUGGGUGCAGAGCCUAGGGCGCCGCCUGGCUUAGAGGGGCCUGGGGUCCCGAGAGGUGGCUGGGAGCCCUGGGCUGUGCCGAUCCCGGUCUCACUGAGUGACGGUGCCCCAGGACCCUGGCCAGGGCGGAGAGGGUCAGAGCCUGAUCCAGGGUUUGGGGAGAGGGGUCUGAGAAGAGCAGGCAGUGGCAGCAGGGAGGGCGCCCUCCUCAGUGCGGGACCUGUCCUGUCCCAACCGCACGCCCACAAUGGCCGGGGCCAGAGCCGGGGACAGCGACCACUGUGCAGACGGACCACACGUGCUUGGGACCUUGCCGCUCUCAGUGCAUCGAUUCCCGUGGGUCCCUAGUGAUCUCCAAAUAAAAGCUAAGAAGAAAACUCAGCCUGGCUGUGGAAGGACCGUAAAACUCUCGAAAAUACUCAGCUCAUCCCGUGCAAGACAAAGGUCCCAUUGGCCCAGGAUCUCACGGAGGGAAACUGGAUACCAAUCCCACCUGGGGACAGAAACGCAGGCGGCAGCGGACGCCCCACUGGUGCUGAGUGACAUGUGACAGCUCUCUUCAGGAGCAGCAAUACCCGCUGAUUAUCAGGGUCUGACAGGUCCGCUCAGCAUUUGGCUUGAAAGACCUGGGCCACCCGGCUGGUCCUAUGGGCCUCUGGGGGCGGUGUUCAAACAAACAAGGCAGCAUGCAUCAAAAGAGCGCCCGCCCUCGGAGGCCCAGGACCCCAGAGAGACCUGGCGGUGGCCGCCUCUCACCGGAAAAGCAGAGUGAAGGGGGGCGAGAGGGUGAAGGAGACCUCACCGCCCGUCUGUCACUCCCAGCAGGAGUAGGGGGUGGGCGUGGACCGGGACUGCGCUGAGGGACAGCAAGGUGUGGAGGCCGUGCCCGUUCCUCCCUCCCCCAGCACCUCCACGCUUCCUCUUAGCACUUCGGUGGUGGAGUCCGUCCGUGCAGUCUCUUCGCUCCCGGCACUUCCUGAGGGCCCAGAGUUCCACCCUGUUACAGUGCGACUCCUUCCUGCAGUUCUAGGGCCUGGGGUCCAAGGGGAGGCCUGGAGGUUGCAGGAGGACGAGAAAGGAGGCCCCAGUGGCCCAGAGGCUGCUCCCCAGGCCGACCCGGGGGACAGGCAGAUACCCGAGGGGUCCGCAGCUGGCCCAGAAGCUUGUACUCCAGAUGUGGGGGAGGGAGGCCGGCUGUCCACUCCGAGAGAGACACCACACAACUGCAGGGAGUGCAGAGCUGAAAGCAGGGCAUGAUGGGUGGCACACCUCUGUAAACCUAGCCCUGUGGGAGGCUGAGGCAGGGGGAUCGUAAGCUCAGGCCCAGCCGACACUACUUAGCAACUUAGGGGGAGGAAGAGUCCUUUCUCUGGACUGGCAUCGCCUUCUCCUGCCCUGAGGUAUCCGUGCCCAGUCUCAGGGCCUUUGGACUGGGACGGAACCAUGCAGCCACUUUCCGGCACACAGUCUCAGGUCCUGGGACUUUGGCCCCUGAUCUCAUACACCAGACCUGUGUGUCUCUCCCUCCUGUCAGUCCACAUCUGCAGAGCUGGGGCCGUUGCGCUUGUCCUUGUAGAAUUAAUAAUUAAACAGCAGUUUAAAACUCUAA